AGUGAACGCUGGCGGUAGGCCUAACACAUGCAAGUCGAACGGCAGCACAGUAAGAGCUUGCUCUUACGGGUGGCGAGUGGCGGACGGGUGAGGAAUACAUCGGAAUCUACUUUUUCGUGGGGGAUAACGUAGGGAAACUUACGCUAAUACCGCAUACGACCUACGGGUGAAAGCAGGGGAUCUUCGGACCUUGCGCGAUUGAAUGAGCCGAUGUCGGAUUAGCUAGUUGGCGGGGUAAAGGCCCACCAAGGCGACGAUCCGUAGCUGGUCUGAGAGGAUGAUCAGCCACACUGGAACUGAGACACGGUCCAGACUCCUACGGGAGGCAGCAGUGGGGAAUAUUGGACAAUGGGCGCAAGCCUGAUCCAGCAAUACCGCGUGGGUGAAGAAGGACUUCGGGUUGUAAAGCCCUUUUGUUGGGAAAGAAAAGCAGCAGGUUAAUACCCCGCUGUUCUGACGGUACCCAAAGAAUAAGCACCGGCUAACUUCGUG
RNAcentral lists this ribosomal RNA (492 nucleotides) under uncultured bacterium. Its description in RNAcentral is "partial 16S ribosomal RNA". It matches the Rfam family "Bacterial small subunit ribosomal RNA", at positions 29 to 507 of the family's 1533-position model. The record is from RNAcentral.